CGGGUUGUGGCCUAGCUUGGUUAGGGCGCCAUACUGGGGGUGUGGAGGUCGCGGGUUCAAAUCCCGCCAACCCGA
RNAcentral lists this transfer RNA (75 nucleotides) under Candidatus Stackebrandtia excrementipullorum. RNAcentral describes it as "tRNA-Pro". It matches the Rfam family "tRNA". From Rfam's summary of the family: Transfer RNA (tRNA) molecules are approximately 80 nucleotides in length. Their secondary structure includes four short double-helical elements and three loops (D, anti-codon, and T loops). Lineage: Bacteria; Bacillati; Actinomycetota; Actinomycetes; Glycomycetales; Glycomycetaceae. The record is from RNAcentral.